Molecule: long non-coding RNA, 1388 nt
Filed under: Brassica rapa (field mustard)
Lineage: Eukaryota; Viridiplantae; Streptophyta; Magnoliopsida; Brassicales; Brassicaceae
Description: long non-coding RNA (BRAP_LNC001025)
Source: RNAcentral
CUCACAAUACAAUCGAUCAAUCUGUAUCCCUCUAUUCUCUUCUCUUCUUAAUCUGCUGUAGGUGCUAGCUCAUUCCCGUUCAAUAUAAUGUUGCUUCCUUCAGUCCGGAGGGUCCAGUUAAAUGCUUAUCAAUACACUCCUGCUCAAGUUUUACGAUAUACUAGCAAUACAUAACAAGUUAAAUUUCAUUUUAGGCUUAAAACCAGAACUAUUUUUCGAUCAAAUUAAGACUUAUGUAGCGAAUUUAUCAUAACAUAAUUUCGGUUACCUAACAAUUAAUCAUCUAAUGGAAGCAGAAUUGUAAUUCAUUUGAAGCUCGAGUUAUGGUUAUGCUUCCUUUCCAGCCCGUCUUUUUCCGAUGGCGUCAAGGUUCUUGCUGAUCAGGUAUGAGGCUUGGCUCUAUCCUUAUAUGCGCUUAAUAGACUACGGUUACUUCAACUAGGAGGAGAGUGGGAUGCUUAGCGCCCUUACCGGAUUAACCCGGUGCGAUGAUGAUGAGGGAAGGAUCCGGAGUUGCGCCCACAACUUGGCUGUGUAGUCCGAUGACUCAAAGUUGUCAAACCCAUGGUUGUACCGUUUUUGCUUGAAUCUUAGUUCGUAUGUAACCGUAACGAUGCCCUUUCGGGAGAUCAAUGAAAUAUAUAGAAUUAUCUAUAAAAAAAAAUAAAAAAAAAAAUAAUGGAAUAGCGAUAAUUUGUGUUUAACAUUGAAUAUAUAUUGAAAAGGACUAAUUCAUAGAUCGUCAAUCACUAACUCAUUUUCAGUUGCUAUAUAUAUAGGGUCCGUUUGUUUCUCCAUCUGGAUGAAUCAUUUGGAUGAAGAUGAGAGUUUUGUUUGUUUAGGCACUAAAAGUACAACUCAUUCAGAUAGAUCAUCCGGAUGACUUUUGGAAAUUUAUGCUUAAUUUUAAAGUCCAUUCAGCUGAACCAAUUUGGAUUAUUUGAAUGGAGAUGGUUCAUUCAAAAUGGUAUAAUGUCUAUUAUGCCCCUAAUGUAAUUCACAAAUUACAAACCUAAAAAUAAUAUCAUUUUUGUCACAUACAAAAACUGACAAAACUACAAAAACACUUUUUCUCGCGAAAACCUAAAAACUAUUUUUCACGCCAAAACCCCAAAUUGCAAAAAUGUGUUUUCCCGUCAAAAUUGCAAAAACGUAUUUUUCCGCAAAAACGUAUUUUUCCGCAAAACCGAAAAACGUGUUUUCAUGCCAAAAUUACAAAAAAAAACAUGUUUUCACGUUAACACCCCAAACACACAUUUUUCCGCCAAAACACAAAAACAUAUUUUCCCGCCAAAAUUGCAAAAACGUAUUUUCCCGCCAAAACCGAAAUAUCUCAUUUUCUCGCCAAUACCAAAAAAAUCUAGUUUUUCUGCAAAAACCACAAAAAC